CCUACGGGAGGCAGCAGUGGGGAAUAUUGCACAAUGGGCGCAAGCCUGAUGCAGCCAUGCCGCGUGUGUGAAGAAGGCCUUCGGGUUGUAAAGCACUUUCAGCGGGGAGGAAGGCGGUGAGGUUAAUAACCUCAUCGAUUGACGGUACCCGCAGAAGAAGCACCGGCUAACUCCGUGCCAGCAGCCGCGGUAAUACGGAGGGUGCAAGCGUUAAUCGGAAUUACUGGGCGUAAAGCGCACGCAGGCGGUCUGUCAAGUCGGAUGUGAAAUCCCCGGGCUCAACCUGGGAACUGCAUUCGAAACUGGCAGGCUAGAGUCUUGUAGAGGGGGGUAGAAUUCCAGGUGUAGCGGUGAAAUGCGUAGAGAUCUGGAGGAAUACCGGUGGCGAAGGCGGCCCCCUGGACAAAGACUGACGCUCAGGUGCGAAAGCGUGGGGAGCAAACAGGAUUAGAUACCCGAGUAGUC
RNAcentral lists this ribosomal RNA (465 nucleotides) under uncultured Klebsiella sp. RNAcentral's name for it is "bacterial SSU rRNA". It matches the Rfam family "Bacterial small subunit ribosomal RNA", at positions 338 to 795 of the family's 1533-position model. The record is from RNAcentral. Lineage: Bacteria; Pseudomonadati; Pseudomonadota; Gammaproteobacteria; Enterobacterales; Enterobacteriaceae.